UGGGGGAUAUUGCACAAUGGGCGAAAGCCUGAUGCAGCGACGCCGCGUGGGGGAUGAAGGCCUUCGGGUUGUAAACUUCUUUUGCUCUGAACAAGGCAUGCUAAUGGGUGUGUUGAGUGUAGGGGUUGAUUAGCGCCGGCUAACUACGUGCCAGCAGCCGCGGUAAUACGUAGGGCGCGAGCGUUGUCCGGAAUUAUUGGGCGUAAAGGGCUUGUAGGUGGCUGGUUGCGUCUGUCGUGAAAGCUCAUGGCUUAACUGUGGGUUUGCGGUGGGUACGGGCUGGCUUGGGUGCAGUAGGGGAGGCUGGAAUUCCUGGUGUAGCGGUGGAAUGCGCAGAUAUCAGGAGGAAUACCGGUGGCGAAGGCGGGUCUCUGGGCUGUUACUGACACUGAGGAGCGAAAGCAUGGGGAGCGAACAGG
Molecule: ribosomal RNA, 419 nt
Filed under: bacterium
Lineage: Bacteria
Description: partial 16S ribosomal RNA
Rfam family: Bacterial small subunit ribosomal RNA
Source: RNAcentral